CAGGGCAUGACUAAAUAGUAAAGUACCUCGCUUACACUGAGAAAAUGCCUGUGCAAAUCAAGCUGCCCUGA
RNAcentral lists this transfer RNA (71 nucleotides) under Solenostomus paradoxus (harlequin ghost pipefish). Its description in RNAcentral is "tRNA-Val". It matches the Rfam family "tRNA". From Rfam's summary of the family: Transfer RNA (tRNA) molecules are approximately 80 nucleotides in length. Their secondary structure includes four short double-helical elements and three loops (D, anti-codon, and T loops). Further hydrogen bonds mediate the characteristic L-shaped molecular structure. tRNAs have two regions of fundamental functional importance: the anti-codon, which is responsible for specific mRNA codon recognition, and the 3' end, to which the tRNAs corresponding amino acid is attached (by aminoacyl-tRNA synthetases). tRNAs cope with the degeneracy of the genetic code in two manners: having more than one tRNA (with a specific anti-codon) for a particular amino acid; and 'wobble' base-pairing, i.e. permitting non-standard base-pairing at the 3rd anti-codon position. Lineage: Eukaryota; Metazoa; Chordata; Actinopteri; Syngnathiformes; Solenostomidae. The record is from RNAcentral.